This 254-nucleotide unclassified non-coding RNA is filed under the name Hevea brasiliensis (rubber tree). The record is from RNAcentral. Lineage: Eukaryota; Viridiplantae; Streptophyta; Magnoliopsida; Malpighiales; Euphorbiaceae.
GAGCUCCUUCAGUAGGCUAGUUUCUUCGCUCUCAUCCACAGAAUUAUCAACCACGGUUGGCACAUAUUCAGGAACAUUUGCAGUUGUUGCUUUGGGUGAGUUAUCUAGGAAAACAGUUGGUUCUGCAUUCAGAUCCAUAAUCCCUGACUCAGUCGAAUUGGGGUUAGCAAAAAAAGCACCAGUAGGCUCUGCAUUCAGAUCCAUGAUCCCUGACUCAUUCUUACCACUGCUUUCAGGAUCACCUGGGAAACCAG